This 505-nucleotide ribosomal RNA is filed under the name uncultured bacterium. RNAcentral describes it as "partial 16S ribosomal RNA". It matches the Rfam family "Bacterial small subunit ribosomal RNA", at positions 28 to 507 of the family's 1533-position model. The record is from RNAcentral.
GACGAACGCUGGCGGCGUGCCUAAUACAUGCAAGUAGAACGCACAGUUUAUACCGUAGCUUGCUACACCAUAGACUGUGAGUUGCGAACGGGUGAGUAACGCGUAGGUAACCUGCCUGGUAGCGGGGGAUAACUAUUGGAAACGAUAGCUAAUACCGCAUAAUAUUAAUUAUUGCAUGAUAAUUAAUUGAAAGGUGCAAUUGCACCACUACCAGAUGGACCUGCGUUGUAUUAGCUAGUAGGUGAGGUAACGGCUCACCUAGGCGACGAUACAUAGCCGACCGGAGAGGGUGGUCGGCCACACUGGGACUGAGACACGGCCCAGACUCCUACGGGAGGCAGCAGUAGGGAAUCUUCGGCAAUGGACGAAAGUCUGACCGAGCAACGCCGCGUGAGUGAAGAAGGUUUUCGGAUCGUAAAGCUCUGUUGUAAGAGAAGAACGGGUGUGAGAGUGGAAAGUUCACACUGUGACGGUAUCUUACCAGAAAGGGACGGCUAACUACGUG